GACGAACGCUGGCGGCGUGCUUAACACAUGCAAGUCGAACGGAAAGGCCCUGCUUUUGUGGGGUGCUCGAGUGGCGAACGGGUGAGUAACACGUGAGUAACCUGCCCUUGACUUUGGGAUAACUUCAGGAAACUGGGGCUAAUACCGGAUAGGAGCUCCUGCUGCAUGGUGGGGGUUGGAAAGUUUCGGCGGUUGGGAUGGACUCGCGGCUUAUCAGCUUGUUGGUGGGGUAGUGGCUUACCAAGGCUUUGACGGGUAGCCGGCCUGAGAGGGUGACCGGCCACAUUGGGACUGAGAUACGGCCCAGACUCCUACGGGAGGCAGCAGUGGGGAAUAUUGCACAAUGGGCGGAAGCCUGAUGCAGCAACGCCGCGUGCGGGAUGACGGCCUUCGGGUUGUAAACCGCUUUCGCCUGCGACGAAGCGUGAGUGACGGUAAUGGGUAAAGAAGCACCGGCUAACUACGUG
This 467-nucleotide ribosomal RNA is filed under the name uncultured bacterium. Its description in RNAcentral is "partial 16S ribosomal RNA". It matches the Rfam family "Bacterial small subunit ribosomal RNA", at positions 28 to 507 of the family's 1533-position model. The record is from RNAcentral.